Molecule: non-coding RNA, 30 nt
Filed under: Rattus norvegicus (Norway rat)
Lineage: Eukaryota; Metazoa; Chordata; Mammalia; Rodentia; Muridae
Source: RNAcentral
UACGAGGUCAUUUCCAACCUGUGGGCCCUU